Long non-coding RNA from Oxyura jamaicensis (ruddy duck), 694 nucleotides. RefSeq lists it as uncharacterized. The transcript has 3 exons. NCBI's taxonomy places the organism in Eukaryota, Metazoa, Chordata, Aves, Anseriformes, Anatidae. The record is from RefSeq and is a predicted model, not a curated record.
GAAUAAUACUGUAAGGAGAGCAGGUAUUUAUGUAAAAUAGCUGAAUGUUAUGUGCACUUCAUGUAUUUCAAACUCUGUGCUGGUACUGCUUUGAAAAACACUGUGCCUCUGUAGAAUCCUAAGGCAGUUUUCUGGUUUGAUCUUAGCUACUCAGAGACCAAAGGUGAAACCUCCUCCUCCUUACAUUGCAAUCCAAGGAACAGCGGAGGCAACCCAGAGAUGGUCUCCGGAAUCUGCCUCGUCUGCUUCACCGGAAACCACGAGGACUGUGAUGGCUACCCGGAGACCAAGGCUGAAAUCCACUUCUCCUUCCUCCCUGGUGACCCAGCAAUCAGUGACGGGUAACUAGCAAAGCCUCUUCUUUUUCUGUUUUCUUCCUUCCCUCUUUCCCAUUCAUGCCCCCUGUCCCAGACCACCCAGCUUCAUUGUCAUCUGCCAUGGAGAGUACAGAGAUUUGUGGGUCCAGGAUCUUGGCUUGCAGAAGCACCUGCUGCAUUUGUUACACAAUUGUGUUGCUUGAUGCCCUGCUUUUUCCAUUGUUUUGGAGCAUUGUCUGUGGGGACUGAAUGACAGUUUGCCUAGAAGACAACGUGUUACUGCAUCUUGCUUUCAGCUGCCAUUUAUCUACUUCAUCCAUCACGGGAGCUGUCUUUCUUUCUCAGGCCCAUUCACAUGAGACAGUGCACAUGCCGGC